Molecule: ribosomal RNA, 486 nt
Filed under: uncultured Thelephoraceae
Lineage: Eukaryota; Fungi; Basidiomycota; Agaricomycetes; Thelephorales; Thelephoraceae
Description: eukaryotic LSU rRNA
Rfam family: 5.8S ribosomal RNA (bases 183-337)
Source: RNAcentral
UUGUUGCUGGUCCUCGAAAGGGGGCACGUGCACGCUCCGUUUACGCAUCCACUCACACCUGUGCACCCUCUGUAGUUCUAUGGCCUCGAGGGCUCCGCCCUCUUGCCGUGGUCCUACGUCUCUACACACACACCGUAACGAAGUCUCAUGGAAUGUAUGUCGCGUUUAACGCAACACAAUACAACUUUCAGCAACGGAUCUCCUGGCUCUCGCAUCGAUGAAGAACGCAGCGAAAUGCGAUAAGUAAUGUGAAUUGCAGAAUUCAGUGAAUCAUCGAAUCUUUGAACGCACCUUGCGCCCUUUGGCUAUUCUGAAGGGCAUGCCUGUUUGAGUAUCAUGAACACCUCAACUCUCGUGGCCCGCCACGAUGAGCUUGGACUUUGGGGGUCUUGCCGGCGUACCGUCGGCUUCUCUCGAAUGAAUCAGCUUGCCAGUGUCUGGUGGCAUCACGGGUGUGAUAACUAUCUACGCUUGUGGUUUUCUGCC